Long non-coding RNA from Juglans regia (Persian walnut), 717 nucleotides. RefSeq lists it as uncharacterized. The transcript has 2 exons. Lineage: Eukaryota; Viridiplantae; Streptophyta; Magnoliopsida; Fagales; Juglandaceae. The record is from RefSeq and is a predicted model, not a curated record.
UCAACAAGCCAUUAGACUUUCUUAUCCCUCUCUUCACCCGUUGGCUUCCUCAAGAAGCUAAGUGGAUUCCUCUUUCUUCCCCCACACGUCGGAUCCAAGGAAAAGAGAAACACAAUCCUCUCAUUUUCCCUUGCACCACCGACGGCCUCGAAGACAAAAACCAGUAAAUUUCUUCCCCACCUCUCUUCAUCCAUCGAUUCCAAGGCACCCGAAGGAGAGAAAAUCUUCUCAAGUGUUCCUUCACACGAGAAACCACUCGGUUCUUCCCCAACCGUGCGACCUCUUCCUCUUCUCAAGCCGAUUCUUCCAUUUCAUAAACCCAAGUCUCCCACCGAAAAUCUCCAAGGGAAAUCAACCUCGUAUGAAUGAUGAGGUUGUGGAGCUAGGCAUUGCUGAGGAAGGAAAGGCUGAUGCUUAGAAUUUCCUGUCGUUCGGUUUGAUAAUAAUGGUUAUGUUUUAUAUUUUAUGAUGGGUCCCAUGUUGGGACGUUUUUUUGGUUUGACUUUAAGACAAUAUGUCCUUGGGCAUGAUGUAGUUACUGUGGUGGGAUGGUGGUAAUGGUGUAACUUCUAUAGUGGGGUGAUGGUAACCCCACAUAAGAAGGUUAAAUGUCUUUUGGGUGUGUUGUAGGGAUGGAGUCCCCUUUUUAUUGGAACUAGCGAUUUUUAAAUGAAUGAAUAGUGGACUCUGAGAGUCCUUUGGGUAAUAUGUUGAACA